This 561-nucleotide long non-coding RNA is filed under the name Mytilus galloprovincialis (Mediterranean mussel). Lineage: Eukaryota; Metazoa; Mollusca; Bivalvia; Mytilida; Mytilidae. The record is from RNAcentral.
AUCGCGGGUCCGUGACUGAAUUAAAGUAUAUAACUAUGCCUAAGCCUUAUUUUAGUAAUUGGUAUUGUCAUCUGAUAAAGUCAUGUCGAUUAUAAGAUACACAGUUUUCUCUGCUUUCAAAUCUAUCUGUUUGAACCCGUCGACCUGGAACUUAUCAAUUAUUGGAAAUAUUAAUUAUUUGGAAAACAAAAGGUCCAGGCUAUCCAGGAAUGGGGUAUUUUUUAAUCAACAGCAUUGUCCUAUAUUAGUUAUCUUAGAAAGUCUUGCUGAUUGCUGAAUAAAGCUACAAUAGGGAACAAUUUGACAAUGAUUGAAUUUAGUAGUGUCAGCCCUUUGAUUAUGACCCGUGUAUAUAGCAAAAUCCUAAAUACACCGUUUGGUGGUGCGCCUGUCAAAUGCAGAACGUACAGAUAAGGUAAUAGCUAACAGGUGAAUAUACUAUUGGUAUCGGUAUCGGAUUAGACCCGGAACUUGUUAAUUAUUGGCAAUAUUAAUUAUGUGGAAAACAAAAGGGUCGGGAGUGGUGUAAGUUUUAAUCUACACCAUUGUCCUAUAUUAGUU